GUCUGCACUUGUCGGUGAAGGGUGAGAACCUUCGAUUAAGGUUCGACUCGAGCGAAAGCGAGAGAACGUUGCCAACGGCAACGGCCCGUAGGGUGAGGAGUGAAGCGACGAAUAAUCCUUCCCCCACCACCA
This 132-nucleotide small RNA is filed under the name Salmonella enterica. RNAcentral describes it as "RtT sRNA". It matches the Rfam family "RtT RNA". From Rfam's summary of the family: This family represents a bacterial cis-regulatory element known as RtT RNA. The exact function of RtT is unknown although it is thought that it may be involved in changing the cellular response in relation to amino acid starvation. The record is from RNAcentral. Lineage: Bacteria; Pseudomonadati; Pseudomonadota; Gammaproteobacteria; Enterobacterales; Enterobacteriaceae. RNAcentral also lists the same sequence under 9 other names.